AUGGAGUUAUCCACAUCAUCAACAAAUAUAUGGAGUAACAAUAUAUGGAGUAUGGAUUACACUUCACAAGGACUACAAACAUAUGGAUCACAAGCCUCUCCACACAAGCAACUAGCCUCUCCACACAAAGCCUCUGAUCAUAAGCAACUAGCCUCUCCACACAAAGCCUCUGAUCACAAGCAACUAGCCUCUCCACACAAAGCCUCUGAUCACAAGCAACUAGCCUCUCCACACAAAGCCUCUGAUCACAAGCAACUAGCCUCUCCACACAAAGCCUCUGAUCACAAGCAACUAGCCUCUCUUCAGUGUUCAUCUUGUUCCAGAUUCUCUAAGGCAUUGUAA
RNAcentral lists this ribosomal RNA (342 nucleotides) under Triticum aestivum (bread wheat). RNAcentral's name for it is "partial small subunit ribosomal RNA". Lineage: Eukaryota; Viridiplantae; Streptophyta; Magnoliopsida; Poales; Poaceae. The record is from RNAcentral.